This 253-nucleotide ribosomal RNA is filed under the name uncultured bacterium. RNAcentral describes it as "partial 16S ribosomal RNA". It matches the Rfam family "Bacterial small subunit ribosomal RNA", at positions 524 to 776 of the family's 1533-position model. The record is from RNAcentral.
UACGGGGGGGGCAAGCGUUGUUCGGAAUUACUGGGCGUAAAGGGCUCGUAGGCGGCCAACUAAGUCGGAUGUGAAAUCCCCAGGCUCAACUUGGGAACUGCAUCCGAUACUGGGGGGCUUGAAUCCGGGAGAGGGAUGUGGAAUUCCAGGUGUAGCGGUGAAAUGCGUAGAUAUCUGGAGGAACACCGGUGGCGAAGGCGGCAUCCUGGACCGGUAUUGACGCUGAGGCGCGAAAGCCAGGGGAGCAAACGGG